Molecule: small RNA, 1601 nt
Filed under: Arabidopsis thaliana (thale cress)
Lineage: Eukaryota; Viridiplantae; Streptophyta; Magnoliopsida; Brassicales; Brassicaceae
Description: ATSL095010
Source: RNAcentral
CAAUGAGGGGGUGAAUACAAAUAAAUCUAAGAAGAAUAGAAGUCCUAAGGAUGGAUUCAUUGAUAAGGGCAACUCUAGGGCUCAUCCGUGGCUAACAGGUGAAAGGCAGAAACCCUAGACGAUAGAUUCAAAAAAACCGGGUCAAUCCACUCUCGUGACAGAGACCCCCAUAACUCUAAUACUUCCUAAUCUCAACUCUCGUUGAUGAAACAUAGCAGAGCAGGGUUUGAGCAACAAUCUACCAAAGCCAAUAAGCAGACUAGCCAAUAUCUUGGUCUAUAGCCUACAAAUCUCUAGAAUCUCUGGAAGGUCUGAAGUAGAGCUAGAAUCGGGAGGAGCUGAACAAACAUAACCGUUCAGGUUACUACUUUGUACCCGUUUGACCACAAAACCGAGCAUCAAGUCAAAAAUGAAAGCUCGUACCUAUAGGAGGGAUGACCAAAGGAGUUGGUUGGACCCGUGGAACCUCUUCAACUAGAUUCUAUGGAGCUGCUGGAAGAGCUUGAUAUGUCUAUAAUUUGCAUGUUUUCAGUGUUCAUUCAUCAUUAUUUGGAGUCUAGUUUCAUAUCAUUCAUCACUGUUUUAUAUCAUUUCUCAUCAUUCUCGCACACUUUGCAUGAUUAGGAUAGCUGUUGGAGCUGGAUUCCCCUCCAGGAAUCCACCUGCGAAAAUACCAAGCCAGCCCACAAAAGUCCACUAAGCCCAUUAAGUAGAGGACCUACGCAGCUGACGAAAUGACCUAGGAACUGACGAAGAGAUAUUCGUGGAGCGGACCUGAUAUCUCGGAACUGACCUGCCGAAUAUCCAGGAGGAUCUCCGCAGAUCCCGGACGGAGCUACCACGUGCGUAGACCUAUAUAAGGGAGGUAGGACGACUUGGAAGAGACAUUCAAUCCAACUUACAUUGAUACACACACUUUUACACUUGUAAUCCCUUUUCACAUUGUAAAAGCUUUGUCAUAAUUAAUACAAAAGUCCAUUCGUUCUUAGCAAUACAACUCUCAAGGUUUCAGUGAAGAUCUAGCCCUCCUUUCUCAUAAUCUUAAAUACAAAUAUCUAGUGUGGAUUUCAGAACCCACAUUUGGCGCCGUCUGUGGGGACGACAAUAUAUCAUUCCAACACCAAAACUAACACAUCAAUUGUGACCAACGAUCAUGGAUCCCAAUUCAUCCAAUUCAUCGGGAUCUGGCCUACCAGUUCAGAUUCCAAACGAUGACGUUACGGACGGGCACCUCCCAACGGAUCUCCCUCCCGGAGCCCAGGUUGAUGCUAUCCAUAACACUGACACAGAGAACAUCUCCCAAAACUCGAAUUCUUCUGGAUCUGACCGAAUCACUCCCCCUCCGCAAACAAGGGGCGGAGAACGAAAUGUCACGAUACAGCCUCCAAACGGAGAUAACCCGGCCAACAUGUCUAAUCAGGUCGCCCCGCUACCUGCCAGCGAAUUGGCCGAGCUCCGCGCAAUGAUCAUGAACUUGAUCAACUUAACCAAAAACCAUGAAAUUACGCAUCGUAACCUCGCCGCAAUUGUGGGUCAGCAGAGACGCGAUUCCACUCGCAUGGCACAUGAGGAAGAGCGCGAUAUCGCGGGUAAAGAGGUUC